This 441-nucleotide ribosomal RNA is filed under the name uncultured bacterium. Its description in RNAcentral is "partial 16S ribosomal RNA". It matches the Rfam family "Bacterial small subunit ribosomal RNA", at positions 338 to 795 of the family's 1533-position model. The record is from RNAcentral.
CCUACGGGAGGCUGCAGUGGGGAAUAUUGCACAAUGGGGGGAACCCUGAUGCAGCGACGCCGCGUGGGUGAAGGAGUACUUCGGUACGUAAAGCCCUAUCAGCAGGAAAGAAAAUGACGGUACCUGACUAAGAAGCCCCGGCUAACUACGUGCCAGCAGCCGCGGUAAUACGUAGGGGGCAAGCGUUAUCCGGAUUUAUUGGGUUUAAAGGGUGCGUAGGCGGUGAGGUAAGUCAGCGGUGAAAUGCCCCCGCUCAACGGGGUGAAGUGCCAUUGAUACUGCCUUGCUGGAAUGCGCAUGAGGUGGGAGGAAUGUGUGGUGUAGCGGUGAAAUGCAUAGAUAUCACACAGAACACCGAUUGCGAAGGCAUCUCACGAGUCCGCGAUUGACGCUGAUGCACGAAAGCGUGGGUAUCAAACAGGAUUAGAUACCCGGGUAGUC